This is a non-coding RNA of Lupinus albus (white lupine), 105 nucleotides long. The record is from the annotation of a GenBank genome assembly. Lineage: Eukaryota; Viridiplantae; Streptophyta; Magnoliopsida; Fabales; Fabaceae.
AUCUGAUGAUGAGGGAAACUUGUACACAAUCUCUUAAACCUCUCCCAGUAGUCAUAUAAGCUCUUACCAUGUUGCUGUCUAAUUCGAGAGAUGUCCCUUUUGAUU